Molecule: long non-coding RNA, 1760 nt
Filed under: Danio rerio (zebrafish)
Lineage: Eukaryota; Metazoa; Chordata; Actinopteri; Cypriniformes; Danionidae
Description: lncRNA si:dkey-187a12.4 (ENSDARG00000091897.4)
Source: RNAcentral
GGGACAGUUUGAUAACCGUUUCCGCCUAUUUCUCGCUCAAAUCGCUAUGUUUAUGAAGAGAAGCAUGUUGAGGGAUUAAAAUUUGCGCCUAAAUUAAUAAGUACACCCACAAAUGGACCCGAACAGCAUUAGUCGCACGAACUGGGCCAUAAACCGGCGGGCGGAGGGUUUAGUGAGUAAACACAUGGCAGACAUGGCACAGAGACGCGCAGCGGUGUCUGAGGAGGAUCUGCACCCUCUGCCCGGAGACUUGAGCAGAAGCGCAGAAGAAAUCCCGGGGCGGGCAGAGGUGAAUUUCAGCGCCGAUUCACAGUCCUACAAUCCUGCUGCAGGAGUGGCGGGAAAGUUGAUGAACGACCCAGACAGCACACAUACAGUCAGCAGCACAGAGAAAAAUCAUAUCACUGCUUAUUGAGAUCAAGGAGGAGCAGCAGAGGCAGUGGGAAGUUCUGAAAGAUCUACAGGCUAGGAUUCACGGACAAGUGUGUGAAGAGGAAGAUGAGCCGCUCGACAUCGAUCUGCCGCUACGAACAAUGGAGCAGCUUGAUGUAACUGAACAGCAUUUAGAAGAUACUGAAGCUCAGAGGAGAAUGGUGUCGCACCUCUCAAGGAUGGGUGGAGCCACAGUUGAUGAUGCAGUUCGGCGUCUUAUGCACACAGUUCUGUCUUUCAGUGUGGGCUCAGAGCUCAACUGGGUUGGCAGAGGACAGAAGAGGAGCUUCAGAAACACCAGACUGCAGGGUGUUUUAUUUCGUGCCUUAAAGAGGACACCUAUUGGAAAGGAGGCCACACAUCAUCAGUUUGCUGAUGUAGUGAAGAAAUGGUUGCGGUUUGCCCCUUUUCGACAGAGAGGAAGCGGACGAAGACCGCAUUGGAAGCCUAUUGAGUUCAUCUGUCCCAAAUAUGAUAAUACAGUAGAGGAUCAUAACCCGCUAAACUUGGAAUCUGGAGAGGUUCAGGUGACAAUAUAACAUAAUUAUAUGUAAUAGUGUGUCAUUAAAUGACUCAAAGUAUAAUUAUAAAAUAUUAAAAAUAAACUGGGAAAGUGAACUUAGUAAAUGAAGAACUGACCCCAGAGUGAAGGAUUGACAUUCAAAGAUAAAGUUUUUUUUGUCAUAUUACGUUCUUUGUAAUAUAAUAUUGCCUUUGCAGCUUUUAAGUUAAAAUUUUGAAUCAUUUGAAAAUGUUCAAAUUAAAGAAUAGAUAUUUAAAAUAAAAAUAGAAACAGUGUUAUAUUGUCUGUUUUGCACCUACAACUUUAUUUGAAAUAUAUUGUACUUUGUUUGUUUCAGUUUAAACCUAUUUUAAUAUUAAUUUUUACCCUAAAAAAAUCAGUUUUGCGGUUUGUUUUGCAUUUUGAAAAGAAUAUUAAUGCAUUUGUUUCAAAGAACUUUUGCAUUCUGACACAUUUGUUUAUGUGUAUAAUUUACACAUUUUUACUUCCAUGUGAGAAAUAUGUAAUAUUUUCUACACCCAACCUACAUAAAUACAGAAAUAGAUGAUUGUUUUCCUCACUAGUGAAUAAAUUCGGCUUAAUGUACUAUUAGAAAUGAUCUCAAAACAGGAUUAAAAGUAUAUUUAAGUAUAAUUUCCAAUAUAUAUAACUUUAUAUUAAAUCAUAUAUGAUGGACAGGCUAAUUUUAUAGCUAGCAUUUCAUGUACACACACACACACUAUACGUCCUAAUAACACCUGGAAUAUUGGAAAAUCAAAGAUUUGUAAUCUCUUGUAGCUACAUAAUAAAAACAAGUGAAAAUGUU